Molecule: unclassified non-coding RNA, 231 nt
Filed under: fungal sp.
Lineage: Eukaryota; Fungi
Description: partial internal transcribed spacer region
Rfam family: Eukaryotic small subunit ribosomal RNA (bases 1-48)
Source: RNAcentral
AAAAGUCGUAACAAGGUUUCCGUAGGUGAACCUGCGGAAGGAUCAUUCAAAAGAAAAACACAUUUAUGUUGUUUACCUUUGUGCAAAGUAAAUAAAUUUACUCAAUUUUAUAACUUGACUGAAAAUUUUUCAUUAUUUUAAUUGAACAUUGAAGAUAACUUCUGUUGUUUUCAAUAAGUAGAUUAUAUUUGAAUCUUAUACAACUUUUAACAAUGGAUCUCUUGGCUCUCG